Molecule: ribosomal RNA, 497 nt
Filed under: uncultured bacterium
Lineage: Bacteria
Description: partial 16S ribosomal RNA
Rfam family: Bacterial small subunit ribosomal RNA
Source: RNAcentral
GAUGAACGCUGGCGGCGUGCCUAACACAUGCAAGUCGAACGAAAAGACGAGACGCUUGCGCCUCUGCCGAUGGCGGCGGGCGGGUGAGUGACGCGUGGAUCACCUCCUUCUAAUCCUGGGAUAACUACGGGAAAACGGAUAGAAUACCACAGCAUAUAUUGCACCGCAGGGUGCAGUGGAGAGGGGCGGCGUUGAUGACACUACUAGAUGGAUACGAGCCGGAUUAGCUAGUUGGGCAGGUAACGGCCUACCAAGGCGACGAUGCGUAGCCGAGCUGAGAGUGUGAUCGGCCACACUGGAACUGAGACACGGUCCAGACUCCUACGGGAGGCAGCAGUAGGGAAUCUUCCGCAAUGGGCGAAAGCCUGACGGAGCAACGCCGCGUGAGUGAUGAAGGCCUUCGGAUCGUAAAGCUCUGUUAUUAGGGAAGAACAAAUGUGGAAUUAACCAUGCACGUCUUGACGGUACCUAAUCAAAAAGCCCCGGCUAACUACGUG